This 908-nucleotide ribosomal RNA is filed under the name uncultured bacterium. RNAcentral's name for it is "bacterial SSU rRNA". It matches the Rfam family "Bacterial small subunit ribosomal RNA", at positions 8 to 916 of the family's 1533-position model. The record is from RNAcentral.
AGAGUUUGAUCAUGGCUCAGGAUGAACGCUAGCUGGAGGCUUAAUACAUGCAAGUCGAGCGGGAUUGUCCCAGCAAUGGGACAUGAGAGCGGCGCACGGGUGAGUAACGCGUACACGACCUACCUCUAACAGGGGGAUAGCCCUGGGAAACCGGGAUUAAUACCGCAUAUAAUUCUGAUUAAUAAAGAGUUGGAAUGAAAGUUCAGGCGGUUAGAGAUGGGUGUGCGUCUGAUUAGCUAGUUGGUAGGGUAACGGCCUACCAAGGCGAUGAUCAGUAGGGGGCGUGAGAGCGUGGUCCCCCACACGGGUACUGAGACACGGACCCGACUCCUACGGGAGGCAGCAGUAAGGAAUAUUGGACAAUGGCCGCAAGGCUGAUCCAGCCAUCCAGCGUGCAGGAAGAAGGCCCUAUGGGUUGUAAACUGCUUUUGUCAGGGAAUAAACCCUUGGAUUUACUCCGAGGCUGAAGGUACCUGAAGAAUAAGCACCGGCUAACUCCGUGCCAGCAGCCGCGGUAAUACGGAGGGUGCGAGCGUUAUCCGGAAUUACUGGGUUUAAAGGGUGCGUAGGCGGCGCAGUAAGUCAGGAGUGAAAGUUUGCGGCUCAACCGUAAAAUUGCUUUUGAUACUGCUGUGCUGGAAUUAGGAUGAGGUCAGCGGAAUGUGGCAUGUAGCGGUGAAAUGCAUAGAUAUGCCAUAGAACACCAAUUGCGAAGGCAGCUGGCUAGACCUGGAUUGACGCUGAGGCACGAAAGCGUGGGGAGCGAACAGGAUUAGAUACCCUGGUAGUCCACGCCCUAAACGAUGCUCACUCGACGUAUGAUGCUAGACAUUGUGCGUCCAAGGGAAACCGUUAAGUGAGCCACCUGGGGAGUACGACCGCAAGGUUGAAACUCAAGGAAUUGACGG